This 408-nucleotide ribosomal RNA is filed under the name Triticum aestivum (bread wheat). Its description in RNAcentral is "partial small subunit ribosomal RNA". The record is from RNAcentral. Lineage: Eukaryota; Viridiplantae; Streptophyta; Magnoliopsida; Poales; Poaceae.
AUGGCGCUCCGUACCCUGGCGGCGAGGGUGCGGACUUCAGCCGAUGCGGUCCGCGUCCAGACGACGGCCCUCCGCCUCCCCCCUCCCCCCGGCGGCCGCCCCGACUUCCACUCCGCCGCCCGCCUCUCCGCUCCGCCCGCCGGCCGUCCCUGCCUCAUCUCCAACAGGACUUUGCGUACGACAAUUAACUUGAAAUCAGCUAGUCUAGAAGAAUUAGAGCGAGAGGCGGCGUCCUUAAGGGGACGAAUUGAUGAGGUUGUGGAGUCUAUUAGCAAGGAGAAGGAGAGGUCCGAUCUCAUCAUGAAGGACAUCUGGGGUACCAUGAAGCUGAUGGCAUGUUCAGCUAUUGUGGUGAAAGUCAUCACAUUUGCCAUUUCUCCAGUUGAGGAACCCAAGGAGAUAGCAUGA